GACGGUAACAGCCCGGUAGUUGAAAUGGCUUUCCCUCCAGAGUGGAUCCUGAGUACGGCGGAACACGUGAAAUUCCGUCGGAAUCCGGGAGGACCAUCUCCCAAGGCUAAAUACUCCCUAGUGACCGAUAGUGAACCAGUACCGUGAGGGAAAGGUGAAAAGCACCCCGGAAGGGGAGUGAAACAGUUCCUGAAACCGUGUGCCUACAAGUAGUUAGAGCCCGUUAAUGGGUGAUAGCGUGCCUUUUGUAGAAUGAACCGGCGAGUUACGAUUUGUUGCAAGGUUAAGCGGAAAAAGCGGAGCCGUAGCGAAAGCGAGUCUGAAUAGGGCGCAUAAGUAACAGGUCGUAGACCCGAAACCAGGUGAUCUACCCAUGUCCAGGAUGAAGGUAAGGUAAUACUUACUGGAGGUCCGAACCCACGCACGUUGAAAAGUGCGGGGAUGAGGUGUGGGUAGCGGAGAAAUUCCAAUCGAACUUGGAGAUAGCUGGUUCUCUCCGAAAUAGCUUUAGGGCUAGCCUCGAGGUAAAGAGUCAUGGAGGUAGAGCACUGUUUGGACUAGGGGCCCUUCUCGGGUUACCGAAUUCAGAUAAACUCCGAAUGCCAUGUACUUAUACUCGGGAGUCAGACUGCGAGUGAUAAGAUCCGUAGUCGAAAGGGAAACAGCCCAGACCACCAGUUAAGGUCCCCAAAUAUAUGUUAAGUGGAAAAGGAUGUGGGGUUGCUUAGACAACCAGGAUGUUGGCUUAGAAGCAGCCACCAUUGAAAGAGUGCGUAAUAGCUCACUGGUCGAGUGACCCCGCGCCGAAAAUGUACCGGGGCUAAACAUAUUACCGAAACUGUGGAUGAACCUCUUUAGAGGUUCGUGGUAGGAGAGCGUUCUAAGGGCGGUGAAGUCAGACCGGAAGGACUGGUGGAGCGCUUAGAAGUGAGAAUGCCGGUAUGAGUAGCGAAAGAAGGGUGAGAAUCCCUUCCACCGAAUAUCUAAGGUUUCCUGAGGAAGGCUCGUCCGCUCAGGGUUAGUCGGGACCUAAGCCGAGGCCGAUAGGCGUAGGCGAUGGACAACAGGUAGAGAUUCCUGUACCAGUGCUAAUUGUUUAACCGAUGGGGUGACACAGAAGGAUAGGGAAUCGCACGAAUGGAAAUGUGCGUCCAAGCAGUGAGUGUGAG
Molecule: ribosomal RNA, 1169 nt
Filed under: Listeria monocytogenes
Lineage: Bacteria; Bacillati; Bacillota; Bacilli; Caryophanales; Listeriaceae
Description: partial 23S ribosomal RNA
Rfam family: Bacterial large subunit ribosomal RNA
Source: RNAcentral